AACGAACGCUGGCGGCAGGCCUAACACAUGCAAGUCGAACGCUGUAGCAAUACAGAGUGGCAGACGGGUGAGCAACACGUGGGAACGUGCCUUUCGGUUCGGAAUAACCCAGGGAAACUUGGACUAAAACCGGAUACGUGCGAGAGCAGAAAGAUUUAUCGCCGAAAGAUCGGCCCGCGUCCGAUUAGCUAGUUGGUGAGGUAACGGCCCACCAAGGCGACGAUCAGUAGCUGGUCUGAGAGGAUGAUCAGCCUCACUGGGACGUGAGACACGGCCCAGACUCCUACGGGAGGGCAGCAGUGGGGAAUAAUUGGACAGUGGGGCGGCAAGCCUGAUCCAGCCAUGCCGCGUGGGUGAUGAAGGCCCUAGGGUUGUAAA
Molecule: ribosomal RNA, 378 nt
Filed under: uncultured bacterium
Lineage: Bacteria
Description: bacterial SSU rRNA
Rfam family: Bacterial small subunit ribosomal RNA
Source: RNAcentral